AUUGAACGCUGGCGGCAGGCCUAACACAUGCAAGUCGAACGGUAACAGGAAACAGCUUGCUGUUUCGCUGACGAGUGGCGGACGGGUGAGUAAUGUCUGGGAAACUGCCUGAUGGAGGGGGAUAACUACUGGAAACGGUAGCUAAUACCGCAUAACGUUGCAAGACCAAAGAGGGGGACCUUCGGGCCUCUUGCCAUCAGAUGUGCCCAGAUGGGAUUAGCUAGUAGGUGGGGUAACGGCUCACCUAGGCGACGAUCCCUAGCUGGUCUGAGAGGAUGACCAGCCACACUGGAACUGAGACACGGUCCAGACUCCUACGGGAGGCAGCAGUGGGGAAUAUUGCACAAUGGGCGCAAGCCUGAUGCAGCCAUGCCGCGUGUAUGAAGAAGGCCUUCGGGUUGUAAAGUACUUUCAGCGGGGAGGAAGGGAGUAAAGUUAAUACCUUUGCUCAUUGACGUUACCCGCAGAAGAAGCACCGGCUAACUCCGUG
RNAcentral lists this ribosomal RNA (490 nucleotides) under uncultured bacterium. Its description in RNAcentral is "partial 16S ribosomal RNA". It matches the Rfam family "Bacterial small subunit ribosomal RNA", at positions 30 to 507 of the family's 1533-position model. The record is from RNAcentral.